Molecule: long non-coding RNA, 2496 nt
Filed under: Equus caballus (horse)
Lineage: Eukaryota; Metazoa; Chordata; Mammalia; Perissodactyla; Equidae
Description: lncRNA (ENSECAG00000046969.1)
Source: RNAcentral
UGCCACCUCAGCAUGGCUUGAUGAGUGGUGCUAGGUCUGUGUCCAGGAUCUGAACCGGUGAAACCCUGGGCCAAAGCUGAGCGUGAAAACUUAACUGCUCAGUCAUGGGGACCAGCCCCCCAAAAGAUGUUCUUUAGAGAAAAGAAAAAUAAUAUAGUUCAGAAACCCAGAUCUACAUAAAGAAAGGAAGAGCAUCAAAGAAGGAAUAAGUGAAGAGUCUUCAUCUGGAAAUGGAGUCAAAGAAAGGAAUAGUCACGAAGAUUAACUGAGGUACUGGUUGCAAAGUAUAAGGCUGGUGUCUGCCUUGGAAUAAGCUGAGAAGCUGGUUCACCUGUCCUGUAUCCUGCUGGAUUCCCUGAGCAAGGUGCAUUCUCCUUCCGAAUAAGCAGUGAGCUCACCACCUGCCCGUCUUGUAUGGGUGAGGAGAAACCUGUCAUACGUCUCCCCUAAGAAGGUGGAAGCCUCUCCGUCCAUUUCAGCUCUGAUUCCAGACCAUAUGCGAGCCCCAGGCUUGUAGAAACAGAGAGGAUAACAGGCCACUGCCCUCCAGGUCACUGCUCAAGAAGACAGAGAGCUGAAAUUAUACCCUUUUCAGAUGGUCGUGUCGGGAAUGUAGGGACCUGACGGCAUGGCAGAGUCACCAUCUCAACCUCAGAGUCUCUACAGGGACGUCAUAGCUGUGGGGAGAGAAGAGGACUUCAACCAGAACUUGCUGUAGCCCAGGGCAGGUCCUGUGUGGCUGCAGGGCCUCCACGCGACAAGACCCUAAUGGUGAGGAGAGACUCUCUUGCUACUCGGCGGGUCUUGCUGGACUGGCACCAUUGGCCUCACCUGGGGCUUCUGAGAAAUGCAGACUCUCAGGCCCACCUGGACUUACUGACCGGAAUGUGCACUUUAACUGGAUCCCCAGCCCAUCUCAUCUGAACCCUCAGUGCUCUUCAUGUCUGUGCCAGAGAAACAUAAGAUUUAAGAGCUUACUAAUCACCAGAUGCUCUGCUGCUCUUUACAUCCACGAGACAGAUUCUUUCACUGUCAGCAUCUCCAUCACACAGAGACAAAAGCAGACCUGGAUUAGGAGGAAGUCUGCUGGCAGCUACCCAGCAGAUGCGAGGGCAGCAGUUGGGGUCCAGUGUGUGUUUGCUGGGCCCCCGGGCCAUUCGCUCAAUUUUAGGUCUACAGUCGCAUGUGAUCAAUGCUCUCCACCGGUGCCCUGGCUGACGUCCCCGGUUAUUUCUCAGUUGACAGAUUCCUCCGAAGGACGGUCCAGCUUUCCUUCCAAUCUGCUGGCCUGAAGGAUCUAAAGAGGCUUAAGGUCCAAACCAGAUGCACGAGCAACAGCCUUGCACAGCUUCCUCCACCUGCAGCCACAAGUGUGAAAGGUCCAAUCCUGAUAAGGAAUCUGUUCUGUAGUGCUCCUAGUCUUUCUGCUUCUGUGAUCACACCCUGACUUCCCACCUGCACGUAUCAAAGGGCAGCCUGUUACAGCGGCUAGAGGAGGAGACGACUGAGAAGGGGUCUCCAGCACGUCUCCCUAGGACUCCAGGCAGGGAAAAGAGAAGGACAUCUCCUCGCUCUCUUCUCCAGAGAGAAGGCGUGUCUUGUCCAAGGCAGGGGCUUGGGAAAGACGAGACUCACAAGGAUGGGACAGCCCAGGCCAGCUUAGGCAGGUGGACGGCGGGGGCUUUGGACGGGCCUCACCACAUUUGAGUGCUGGCUCUACCCCUCACUGCAGACCUUAGACCAGCCAUGUGGCCGCCAGGGCUCCAGCCUCUUCACCUGCAAAGUGGAACCCUCCCCACUGGGUUUCUCUGAGGAGCACGGAGGUCACUGGAUGUACACUGUGCACAUGGACAGCACUGAAUGAGCAUUAACUGCCUCUGCUUUCAACCCCAAGGGGGUCCCAGAGCAGGAGAUGGCAGCAAGGAGCCCGCGCAACAUCAGCAGAUGCUGGUGGGAAGGAAGCUGCAGCCUCUGCAGAAAGCUGUCUUGUCUUGGGGUCACGGUUGGACCCUGUCUGUGGACUAACAGCUCAGACCCACCUUGGGCCCAUCCAGCUGCACUGACGCCCUGCUCUGCUCCAUCCUCGGGCCCCGAGCCAAAGCCCUCAUAAUCCAUGCCCCAGGGAGACGUCGUCCACAGCAAACCGCUUCUCCUCUUUGUCUGACCCGAGGCUUGUAGCUUUUUAUUUAUCUUACACACCAAAAAGCUUCAAGAUAAAUUCCUUUCCAGGUUAUUAUUGCAUUCUUAUCUCAGAAACCUGUUUGCAUCUCCCCUUUCUGCUUAUUCUUGGAAUAUUAAGGGUUCUUACCCCGGGAUUUAGGAAAUUCACGAACUCUUGAAAGUAAAUGUAAAGUUUAGUCUGUGUGUGGGGUGUGUGUGUGUGUGUGUGUGUGUGUGUAGUAUUUCUGGGUGGGGGAGCUUCAUAGCUUUCGCCAGGUUUUCAGGAAGAAAGCAACACUGCUUUAGAUGGUCUAUUCUAUUAAAAUGUCCUAAUCG